AACGAACGCUGGCGGCAGGCCUAACACAUGCAAGUCGAGCGGACCCUUCGGGGUUAGCGGCGGACGGGUGAGUAACGCGUGGGAACGUGCCCUUUGCUUCGGAAUAGCCCUGGGAAACUGGGAGUAAUACCGGAUACGCCCUUUUGGGGAAAGAUUUAUCGGCGCAGGAUCGGCCCGCGUUGGAUUAGGUAGUUGGUGGGGUAAUGGCCUAACAAGCCGACGAUCCAUAGCUGGUGUGAGAGGAUGAUCAGCUACACUGGGACUGAGACACGGCCCAGACUCCUACGGGAGGCAGCAGUGGGGAAUCUUAGACAAGGGGGGAAAACGUGACAUAGCCAUGCCGCGUGAGCGAUGAAGGCCUUAGGGUUGUAAAGCUCUUUCAGCGGGGAAGAUAAUGACGGUACCCGGAGAAGAAGCCCCGGCUAACUCCGUG
This 433-nucleotide ribosomal RNA is filed under the name uncultured bacterium. Its description in RNAcentral is "partial 16S ribosomal RNA". It matches the Rfam family "Bacterial small subunit ribosomal RNA", at positions 29 to 507 of the family's 1533-position model. The record is from RNAcentral.